AAAGGAAUUGACGGGGGCCCGCACAAGCGGAGGAACAUGUGGUUUAAUUCGAUGAUACGCGAGGAACCUUACCCGGGAUUGAAAUGGAGGGGAAUGAUGGUGAAAGUCAUCAGUCAGCAAUGACCCCUUUGUAGGUGCUGCAUGGUUGUCGUCAGCUCGUGCCGUGAGGUGUCGGCUUAAGUGCCAUAACGAGCGCAACCCUGACUGUCAGUUGCUAGCAGGUAAAGCUGAGGACUCUGACGGGACUGCCGGCGUAAGCUGUGAGGAAGGUUGGGAUGACGUCAAAUCAGCACGGCCCUUACAUCCGGGGCGACACACGUGUUACAAUGGUGAGGACAAAGGGCAGCUACCGGGCGACCGGAUGCCAAUCUCCAAACCUCAUCUCAGUUCGGAUCGGAGUCUGCAACCCGACUCCGUGAAGCUGGAUUCGCUAGUAAUCGCGCAUCAGCCAUGGCGCGGUGAAUACGUUCCCGGGCCUUGUACACACCGCCCGU
Molecule: ribosomal RNA, 494 nt
Filed under: uncultured bacterium
Lineage: Bacteria
Description: bacterial SSU rRNA
Rfam family: Bacterial small subunit ribosomal RNA
Source: RNAcentral